This 666-nucleotide ribosomal RNA is filed under the name Triticum aestivum (bread wheat). RNAcentral's name for it is "partial small subunit ribosomal RNA". The record is from RNAcentral. Lineage: Eukaryota; Viridiplantae; Streptophyta; Magnoliopsida; Poales; Poaceae.
AUGGCGGCCCGCAACCGGAGCUUCGUGCUGUGGCUGCACGGCCUCGGCGACUCCGGCCCCGCCAACGAGCCCAUCCGCACCUUCUUCGCCGCGCCGGAGUUCCGCCACACCAAGUGGGCGUUCCCCUCCGCCCCCAACUCCCCCGUCUCCUGCAACAAUGGCGCCGUGAUGCCAUCAUGGUUCGAUAUCCACGAGCUUCCUUUGAGCCCUGGUUCGCCGCAAGAUGAGAGCGGUGUUCUUAAGGCUGUGGAGAAUGUGCACGCCAUGAUCGACAGGGAGGUGGCCGGCGGCAUCCAUCCUGACAACAUAUUUGUGUGCGGGUUCAGUCAGGGAGGUGCUCUGACAUUAGCAAGUGUUUUGCUUUAUCCGAAGACGCUAGGUGGUGGUGCCGUGUUCAGUGGCUGGGUCCCUUUCGGUUCGUCGGUCAUUGAGAGGAUUUCACCCGAAGCAAGGAAGACACCUAUUCUGUGGUCGCAUGGAAUAGCUGAUCAAGUGGUAUUAUUUGAAGCCGGUCAGGCCGGCCCACCAUUUUUGCAAAGUGCAGGCAUCAGUUGUGAAUUUAAGGCAUACCCAAAUCUAGGCCACUCGAUCGCAAAGGAAGAGCUAUCCUCUCUCGAGGCGUGGAUCAAGGGUCGUCUCAAAGCCUUGCAAGAUAAGCAAAGUUAA